Molecule: non-coding RNA, 22 nt
Filed under: Arabidopsis thaliana (thale cress)
Lineage: Eukaryota; Viridiplantae; Streptophyta; Magnoliopsida; Brassicales; Brassicaceae
Source: RNAcentral
UAUAAUGUGCUAUUCUACCCCC